UUUAAAGUCCACAACUCAUCAAGGAAAAUGAAAGUCAAAGUUGGCAGCUUACUUAAACUUAAUCACAGCCUUUAAUGUAAAGACAUCAAGCUAAUCUACGUAAGUUAAUAUACCAUAUCUACGUAGAUUAGCUUGAUGUCUUUGUACCUAAAGUGCCUAACAUCAUUAUUUAAUUUUUUUUUUUUUUGGCACACGAAUAACCAUGCCGUUUUGGAUCUUUUAAAGUCCACAACUCAUCAAGGAAAAUGAAAGUCAAAGUUGGCAGCUUACUUAAACUUAAUCACAGCCUUUAAUGUGCAUCGUACAGACAUCAACACGUAAGUUAAUAUACCAUAUCUACGUGUUGAUGUCUGUACGAUGCGUACCUAAAGUGCCUAACAUCAUUAUUUAAUUUUUUUUUUUUUUGGCACACGAAUAACCAUGCCGUUUUGGAUCUUUUAAAGUCCACAACUCAUCAAGGAAAAUGAAAGUCAAAGUUGGCAGCUUACUUAAACUUAAUCACAGCCUUUAAUGUGGAUACGCUACCAAGACUCAAUUAAGUUAAUAUACCAUAUCUAAUUGAGUCUUGGUAGCGUAUCCGUACCUAAAGUGCCUAACAUCAUUAUUUAAUUUUUUUUUUUUUUGGCACACGAAUAACCAUGCCGUUUU
This 648-nucleotide unclassified non-coding RNA is filed under the name Cloning vector pBAC_attBs_fle-3miR. The record is from RNAcentral.